Molecule: non-coding RNA, 2101 nt
Organism: Prunus avium (sweet cherry)
Lineage: Eukaryota; Viridiplantae; Streptophyta; Magnoliopsida; Rosales; Rosaceae
Source: RefSeq, a predicted model, not a curated record
UCUGACUUCUAUGCUAGAAAUGCCAACUACAGAACACAGUUGACUCUUCUGUGAAGAACUCUAGCGACGAUAUUGUUGCUGCAGCAUCAGCAGCUUUAGACCAGAUAAAGAAUGAAGAAGUACAAGCUAUUAUAGGGCCCCAAACGUUAACCCAAGCCAAGUUUGUGAUAAAUCUUGGACAGAGCGCUCAAAUUCCCAUUCUUUCAUUUUCAGCUACAGGCCCCUCACUAUCUUCAACCCAAAACCGUUUCUUCAUUCGGACAGCUUUGGAUGAUUGUUCUCAAGUGAAAGCCAUCACAUCCAUUGUUGAACCAUAUGGAUGGCGUGAAGUUGUGGUAAUCUACAAAGACACCGAAUAGGGAAAUGGUUUGAUUCCAUACAUAACAGACUCCUUUCAACAGAUCGAUACGAGAGUACCUUACAGAAGUGUCAUUUCUCCAUCAUCUAGUCCCUAUCAAAUUUUGAGAGAGCUUACUAAGUUAAUAUGGGAAUGUUCACUUGGAUCAAAAGUCUUUGUUCAUGCAAAAGAAGCUGGCAUGAUGACUGAAGGGUAUGCAUGGAUCAUAAUUGCUGGGCUAUCAACUUUAUUGCAUCCAGUGGAGGCAAAGGCCAUUGAUUCAAUGGAAGGUGUGAUUGGUGUAAGGCCCUAUGUACCAAUGUCAAAAAAUCUUACAGAUUUUGAGACGAGAUGGAAAAGGAGACCAUCAUUACCCAACAUUGGCAAGACAAAGCAUACUACUUCAAGGAUAAACCUCUUUGGCUUAUGGGCUUAUGAUACCGUCUGGGCUCUAGCUAAGGCUUUAGAACUGGUUGACCAGGAGGAUAGUUAGUCGACGAAUGCUCGAAAGCAGAAGAAUAGUAGUGCUACAAAUGCCGGAGAAAUGUUAGGCAUAACUCUCUAAAUCGGGUGCAGCACUUGUGAACAAAUUGCUUACUACCAGAUUUGAAGGCCUAAGUGGACAGUUCAGAUUAAUUGGUGGACAGUUUCAACCAACAGCCUUUAAAAUAUUCAAUGUGAUAAGUAAGGGAGAGACAGUUAUUGGAUAUUGGAUCUCCAACACUAACAAAGAAACAUUUGAUGAUUUAGUUCAAUCAGUUAAAGUAGCAUCAAACUAUUCCAUGGUUGAUCAUGAGCUUAUGAAAACAAGAGAUCCUAUCUGGCCUGGAAACACAUAUAUUGCACCAAAGGGUUGGGUUAUACCUGUUACUGGCAAAAAGUUGAGGAUCGGCAUACCCGUGGCAUCUGAUGGUGUCAAAGAAUUUGUGAACAUAGACUGGUCUCGUCAUGACAAUGAUCCUCAGAGAUUUUCAGGGUUUUCAAUUGAUGUCUUCCGGGCGGUCUUAAAAAAGAAUGCCAUUUGCUGUUUUGUAUGAGUUUGUUCCAUACAUGAAUAGCUCAACAAAAGAAGCUGCUGGGACUUAUGAUGAGCUCCUUUCCCAGAUUAUGCUCAAGGUAUGUUGGUGUUUAAUCCUAUCCCUUUCUUUUAUUUCUGAGUUUUCAAUUUCAAACACACCGGUGUUUAUAAGAGCGAAAAUUAGUUUUGAUAAUAGCGCUCUUUGAUUGUUUUCAGUCACUUGUUUGAAUAUGAAAGUGCAGAAAUUUGAUGCUGGGGUGGGAGAUACAGCCAUUGUUGCAAAUAGGACAUCCUACGUUGAUUUUAUACUUCCUUAUUCUGAAUCAGGCGUUUGCAUGGUGGUGAAAGUGAAAAAUAACGAAACAACGAAUAUUUGGAUUUUCCUAAGGCCUCUUAGUUGGGAUCUUUGGUUGACAUCUGAGGCCGCCUUCAUCUUUACAGGCCUUGUAGUAUGGAUUCUUGAACAUCGUAUAAACACAGAAUUCAGGCAUGGUUCAUGAAAGCAACAACUUGCCACCACUCUUUGGUUCUCUUUUUCAACUCUUGUGUUUGCUCAUAAGGAGAAGGUGCAGAGCAACUGGACCAGAUUUGUGCUGAUCAUAUGGAUUUUUGUGGUACUUAUUUUGACAGAGUUACACUGCUAGCUUAGCCUCAUUGUUGACUGUAGAUAAGUUGCAGCCAGCUUGUUGAUGUGAAUGAGCUCAGAAAAACUGGUGAUUAUGUUGGAUACCACAAGGAUUCCUUUG